RNAcentral lists this non-coding RNA (194 nucleotides) under Conexibacter woesei. Lineage: Bacteria; Bacillati; Actinomycetota; Thermoleophilia; Solirubrobacterales; Conexibacteraceae. The record is from RNAcentral.
CAGCUCGUUAUGCUCGGGGCCAACGGUCGGUGUCGAGGGAAGUCUGGUGCGAAUCCAGCGCGGUCCCGCCACUGUGACCGGGUUCACGCUCGCCGCAAGCCGAUGGCAAGCCACUGGGUCCUCCACUGCGGACCUGGGAAGGCGCGGCGAGUACGCCCGGGAGCCAGGAGACCUGACUCCGGCCAGCUGAGAAC